Molecule: long non-coding RNA, 2312 nt
Filed under: Triticum aestivum (bread wheat)
Lineage: Eukaryota; Viridiplantae; Streptophyta; Magnoliopsida; Poales; Poaceae
Description: long non-coding RNA (TAES_LNC023295)
Source: RNAcentral
UCCCCCGCCGCCGCCGCCGCCGCUAGAACUUCUCGUAGAUUAGGUUGAAGCAAGAAUGGAGAGACCGCCAAGAUGGUCAGGUCAGGUCAGGUCAGGUCAGGUCAGGUCAGGUCAGGUCAGUGAAACCAGCAGUAGUACUAGCAGUUGGUUUUGUCCAAGCAAGCAAGAGCAUCCGCUCUAUGCCCCUUUUGAUUUCUUGCAACUCUGAUGAACGAGCAACCCCGAGGCUCCGGGUGGGGAUUAAGAGUCCAAAUCUCCCCACAUCCAGGCCUCCCAUGUACCAUAUUUUUGCUCAUUUGGUUCAACAAGAAACUUUCCCCAUUUCCCCUUUCUCUCCUCGCCAUUGAUGAGCUGCUUCAGCAAAAUCUUAGUAAUCUGAACUGUCGAUUGAUUCCUGCUGCUAGUUGCAGGACCAAGAAUCUCUUCUUUACUAGUUCUUGUUAUUAAAGCCUGUAGAAAUGAUUAAGUGCCAACCUCGUUGUCGCCUGGCCCAUUUGCCUUGCCUGCUAAGCAAAAGCAUCUGCGCAAAGGCGCCGGGGUUCUGCAAAGCCCUCGCUAACCCUGUUCCCCUGCUGCUCACUCAUGGUGGGCUUCGGUGACACAUCCAUGCGAAAUAUUAGUAGCAAGUACAAUCUUUGUUGUUGUUGUUGUCGUUGGUUGAUUGAUUUGAUUCGAGCUAGCUAGCUAGCUGGAGCAGUUCGCCACACCGAUAAAGCUCGAGCUCAUAAACAGGAAUUAAUCAUCGUAUCUGCAGAGCAACAACCACCGCGACGUGGCGGCAGAACUGGGGAACUGGUGCGAAUUUGACCCGAAAGCGGGAAGCUCCCGUGCGACUGCACUGCUGCUCCCACCUCUCUCUUUCUCGAAAGGGAACCACUACCAUCUUUUGAACCAUGCCUUUUAUUAGUGUUUCUAUUAUCUAUGCUUUGAGAGGGGUAUUUUUUGUGUAUUCAAUUGUGGCAUUGGAGGAGGCAAAAGGAGGAUUAGAUAUUUCCUCCUCCCCAUGUACCGCAUCGGUACUUACCCAAAAGAAUUGCUAAGUGUACUACUGGCGAUUGCAAAGCGGAGGUUAUCCGUGGGCUGGGUAGUUUGUUUCGCUCCCACUGUGACUCUGCUCGGCGAGGACGACGUGUACUCCACAAAAUUAAGCCCUUUAACUUUACCACAUCCAGUACAAAGCUUACGGCACUUUAAUAAGCUAGUACUACGUGCUAGUAGCACCAAAUUCAUCUAAAACUUAUCUUUUUAUCUUUGGGGGGAAGGUUUUGUAGCUUUGCUCCCUCCUCCCAUGUCAUGGCUGAUGUGUAGCACUAGCUGGCGGCCAUGUUGCAACGAAAUUGCAUACGUUAUCCUGGCGCCGGAACGGCUGCGUUUUCCGUUGGGCGGAGAGAAAGCCCGGAACCAAGGGCCACUGUUUGACUGCCCUACAAUGUUGAACCAAGGGCCAAUGCCAAGAAGGUAGGGUGUGUUUGUUUGAUGAUGCCCACGCUACACCAGUUUUUUUUUUUUUUGAGAAACAAAUGUGGUAGUGCUAAUUGGCAAUAGCUGGUUUUUCCCAAAUGGAAUGUGAAAAUUGUUUGAGAAGAAGGGGUGGGGGGACAUGACUCAGGAUGACACCAAUUGGCAGCAAACCAAACAGAGAAGUGGCCAAGAAAGAAUUCAUGGCUUGGCAGCGAACGGAAGGAGAAAAGUCACUGUAGCCGGUGAGCCCGCCGGGAAAGCGGAGGUUGAUGGGGGCACGAAUGACGGGGUAUGUCACUCCUACUACUACUACUACUACUGGUGCUACUGCGACCGGAGGACAGGGAAUUGAUGGGCACAUGCAAUGCACCUGCGCCACUGCCUGCCUGCCUUGCGCGCUUCACUCCCCCUCGCACACACUCGCUCACUGGCGCGCGCGCUGCUCCAGUCCAAGGUACAGGUACAGGGCAGGGCAAGGUCGUAAUGAGGGAGGGCCGCGACGGAAUGGAUCGCCGCAUUUGAUGAUACUGCUGUACUCAUCAGUGAAUUCAUUCAUUCGGUUUAAAUGAACGGCUUCGAUGAUCGCGGGCGUUGCUGCGGAAGGCCAAGGAAUGAGGGGGCCUUUAUGACCCCCGCGUUUGCGUUGCGCACCCAUCGUGGGCUUCUUAUGUUGCGUUCAUGGAAUGUUUUUGCAAGAAAUGGUGCUCCCUCGGAAAAGAAAUGGCAGUACUCCCUCAGUCCAGGCUUAUAUAUUUCCUAAUACGUGCUUCGAAACUUUGUUUUAGUAAUGUACUGUACGAGAUAUAUGCCAUAAUGCCAAAAGGAUUGUACAGCUGGAAACAAAAAAAAAA